Nerophis ophidion (straightnose pipefish) is the source of this 482-nucleotide long non-coding RNA. RefSeq lists it as uncharacterized. The record is from RefSeq and is a predicted model, not a curated record. NCBI's taxonomy places the organism in Eukaryota, Metazoa, Chordata, Actinopteri, Syngnathiformes, Syngnathidae. The transcript has 2 exons.
UGGCUUUCUUCUCAGCCAGUUCAAGUUUCUCCUGGGCGUCUUUAAGCGCCUCGGAGUACUUGUCCAGCUCAUCCUCCGUCCCCUUCAGCUUCUUUUGCAGCGCCACCAGGUCGUCCUCAAGCUGAUGUGUGUGUGUGUGUGUGUGUUUGUGUUUGUGCACAGGUGGAAGACACAUAUAUGGACACACACAGAGGACAGGACAGGACAGGACAGGAGAGAAGAGAAGAGAAAGUUAACGGCGGCGACACAGACAAGCAGGUUAUGAACGUCAAGAAAGCAAAUCACACCCGCGUGCUCCGAGUCUGACCUGCUUGCUUCGGUCCUCCGCUGCCUUCUUGUCCGACUCGGCCUGCUCCGCCCGGUCCAAGGCGUUCUCCUUGUCCAGCUUCAGCAUCUGCAUCUUCUUCUUGAUGGCGUCCAUGGCUGCUUACCGACCUCAGCGUUUCCCCUCCCCGAAAAAAGACAAAGCAGGCGAGAGCGUU